AACGAACGCUGGCGGCAUGCCUAACACAUGCAAGUCGAACGAAGGCUUCGGCCUUAGUGGCGCACGGGUGCGUAACGCGUGGGAAUCUGCCCCUUGCUUCGGAAUAACAGUUAGAAAUGACUGCUAAUACCGGAUGAUGUCGCAAGACCAAAGAUUUAUCGGCAAAGGAUGAGCCCGCGUAGGAUUAGCUAGUUGGUGGGGUAAAGGCCUACCAAGGCGACGAUCCUUAGCUGGUCUGAGAGGAUGAUCAGCCACACUGGGACUGAGACACGGCCCAGACCCCCAGGGGGGGCAGCAGUGGGGAAUAUUGGACAAUGGGCGAAAGCCGGAUCCAGCAAUGCCGGGUGGGUGAUGAAGGCUUUAGGGUUGUAAAGCUCUUUUACCCGGGAUGAUAAGGACAGGACCGGGAGAAAAAGCCCCGGCGAACUCCGG
Molecule: ribosomal RNA, 432 nt
Filed under: uncultured bacterium
Lineage: Bacteria
Description: partial 16S ribosomal RNA
Rfam family: Bacterial small subunit ribosomal RNA
Source: RNAcentral